GAGAAGACUCAGAAGAGGUGAGUGUUAACACCUCCGCAGGGGCGGAACCUGUCUCAGGUCGCAUUGUGGGGGCACUGAGAUGGUGUAUAGAUGGCUGGUUCCGUAACCCCAUACCUGGCGUCCGCCGGAUAUGGGGGCGGGGAGGGUUUGUUCCGUGACCCCCACCCAUCCCUGCACGCCUGCGCAGACUCCAUUGGGGCUGCGUUGGGGGACUCAGGGAGUCUGCGAAAGGUUGCAAGACGCCGCCCAGCGGUGGCUACACCGUCGAUCCUGCCUCUGGUCAGGAAGAGGGAGACCUGGAGGAAGUCACUGAAGCUGUCAUCCUUCUGUCCAGUGCCUGAGAGCCUAGGGCCAGCAGCUAUGGCUUUUUCUGUCCCGGUCUUCACCAGUGGGGACCGUUGGUGGGAC
Molecule: long non-coding RNA, 408 nt
Filed under: Rattus norvegicus (Norway rat)
Lineage: Eukaryota; Metazoa; Chordata; Mammalia; Rodentia; Muridae
Description: long non-coding RNA NONRATT011553
Source: RNAcentral